RNAcentral lists this ribosomal RNA (508 nucleotides) under uncultured bacterium. Its description in RNAcentral is "partial 16S ribosomal RNA". It matches the Rfam family "Bacterial small subunit ribosomal RNA", at positions 30 to 523 of the family's 1533-position model. The record is from RNAcentral.
AUUGAACGCUGGCGGCAUGCCUUACACAUGCAAGUCGAACGGCAGCGGGGGAGAAGCUUGCUUUUCCUGCCGGCGAGUGGCGAACGGGUGAGUAAUACAUCGGAACGUGCCCUGUAGUGGGGGAUAACUAGUCGAAAGAUUAGCUAAUACCGCAUACGACCUGAGGGUGAAAGUGGGGGACCGCAAGAACUCCAGCUCUUGGAGCGGCCGAUAUCAGAUUAGCUAGUUGGUAGGGUAAAAGCCUACCAAGGCAACGAUCUGUAGCUGGUCUGAGAGGACGACCAGCCACACUGGGACUGAGACACGGCCCAGACUCCUACGGGAGGCAGCAGUGGGGAAUUUUGGACAAUGGGCGCAAGCCUGAUCCAGCCAUGCCGCGUGUGGGAAGAAGGCCUUCGGGUUGUAAACCACUUUUGUCAGGGAAGAAACGCUCUGGAUUAAUACUCUGGGGUAAUGACGGUACCUGAAGAAUAAGCACCGGCUAACUACGUGCCAGCAGCCGCAGUAA